RNAcentral lists this ribosomal RNA (391 nucleotides) under uncultured bacterium. Its description in RNAcentral is "bacterial SSU rRNA". It matches the Rfam family "Bacterial small subunit ribosomal RNA", at positions 39 to 426 of the family's 1533-position model. The record is from RNAcentral.
GAAUUCGAUUCAGGCCUAACACAUGCAAGUCGAACAACAGCACGGACUUCGGUCUGGUGGCGAGUAAAAAACGGGUGAGUAAUGCAUCGGAACGUGCCCAAUCGUGGGGGAUAACGUAGCGAAAGUUACGCUAAUACCGCAUACGAUCUAAGGAUGAAAGCGGGGGAUCGCAAGACCUCGCGCGAAUGGAGCGGCCGAUGUUAGAUUAGGUAGUUGGUGGGGUAAAGGCUCACCAAGCCGACGAUCUAUAGCUGGUCUGAGAGGAAAAAAAGCCACACUGGUUCUGUGGGGAGGCCCAGACUCCUACGGGAGGCAGCAGUGGGGAAUUUUGGACAAUGGGCGCAAGCCUGAUCCCUUCAAGGGGCGUGCAGGAUGAAGGCCCUCGGGUUGU